RNAcentral lists this ribosomal RNA (253 nucleotides) under uncultured bacterium. Its description in RNAcentral is "partial 16S ribosomal RNA". It matches the Rfam family "Bacterial small subunit ribosomal RNA", at positions 524 to 776 of the family's 1533-position model. The record is from RNAcentral.
UACGUAGGGUGCAAGCGUUGUCCGGAAUUAUUGGGCGUAAAGAGCUCGUAGGCGGUCUGUCGCGUCGGCUGUGAAAACCCGAGGCUCAACCUCGGGCCUGCAGUCGAUACGGGCAAGCUAGAGUACUGCAGGGGAGACUGGAAUUCCUGGUGUAGCGGUGAAAUGCGCAGAUAUCAGGAGGAACACCGGUGGCGAAGGCGGGUCUCUGGGCCGUAACUGACGCUGAGGAGCGAAAGCGUGGGGAGCGAACAGG